The submitters of this non-coding RNA (94 nucleotides) gave its source as unclassified sequences. The record is from Rfam.
GGUUCGGGAGCCGAUCGGUGGGACGGUCGGCAUGAAUGGAACCUCACCCCCUGUUUUGUGAGCGGUGGUGUGCCGGUGCCCGACGGUCGCACAU